This 1161-nucleotide long non-coding RNA is filed under the name Heterocephalus glaber (naked mole-rat). RNAcentral describes it as "lncRNA (ENSHGLG00100042129.1)". Lineage: Eukaryota; Metazoa; Chordata; Mammalia; Rodentia; Bathyergidae. The record is from RNAcentral.
UAACUUUUCCCGGCAUCUACUGCGAGGCGGUCUCUGGUGGACUCUAGUUUUUCUUUUCUCUUCUUCCUGAGCUCUACCCUCACAGCCCAGCACCACCCCUCUGGUUGAAACCUGGUCUCACUGCUCGGCCAGGCUGGGCUCCAACUUGCCGAUGGGCGAGUUUCAGACCUAGUGACUGUCCCUUUUUCUGGAAGUGCUUUUGCUCCGAGUGUUAACGUGCCCCACUCAGUUCUUUCCUGGCCACAGGGUGUCUCUGACCAACUGGACACAAGUCCUGGGGAGGACACAAUUCCCAAGGAAUAACCAUGCCUCUUCCGAGAGUCCUCUUUUUUCUGUCUUUUUCUACCUGAAGUGAGCCAGGCCUGGAGCUGUGCCAGGGAGUUUACACCCAGCAGCUGGAGCAGAGUGGCGGCCCUGCAGGGCCUCUGAAUUAACGGCUGGCAGUGCCCCCCAAAAGCGUCCCACGCAGGGCUCUGGGUCCUGGUUUGCAAGCAGCUUAUGUAAUUUAGUUAUCCAAGUCAGUUAUACUGUAAUACAGAAUCCUCAUUCCAUCUGUUUUUACACUGCAAGCCAGAGGAUGGACUGGGGACACCUGAUUUCCUGCCUGCUCGGGCACCACAUACGUGGGAUUCAGGCAGGACACAGGACUUUCUAUUAAACCUUUCCUGUUCUCUCACAGCAGUUUCCUUUUUUGUUGCUUUAGACAAGGUCUCACUAUGUAGCCCACGCUGGUCUCAAACCCACAGCGAUCCGCUUACCUCAGCCUCCUGAGUGCUGGGAUUACAGGAGUGUGCUGCCAUGUCCAGCUAGCAGGGGUUUUUUUUAAUCAAGGAACGAACUCAGGAUCCUGCGCUUGGGAGGCAAGUGCAGCACCACUGAAGUACGGGGAUCACACUCAGGACUUUGCUCUUGCCAGGCAGGCACCGUGGUACUGAGCUGCAUCCCUGGCCCUGAAGCAGUUCUGAAGUCCUUUCAUGUCUUUUUAUGAUCAAAAACCCAGUGAACGCUGCUGCCAAGUACAGAGGAAAGGCGGGCUUGUAAAAGAUUACAUUAUGUCCUCAUCCACCUUAUUCAUUGGAUCUGGCCCCGUGUGGUUUCUGGCUUCUCCCCAAAGGAAAAAGUAACCGUGAAAAAGGUAAACAUGUUCAGUCCAUUCAGGAC